GUGUAUUCAAUUUUGUUAUAUUUUGCAGUAUAUUGACGAGUCGUUGUGACAAGCUGAAACUAUGAUGGAAAAAGAUAAUCCAGGUUACGUAUAUGCCUACGCCUGGAACCGUCGAAAUAUGGGCCUAGUUGGCGGAUGGCCCGAAGACAAUCAGAAUAUAAUAGUCAGAAAUUGUGCAUGGAUAUACGCUUUGAUUGUUUUGCUGUUCAUUUGGUUACCGAUGAGUGCUAGCGUGUUUUUUCUCAGUAAUAGUUUAAGCGAAUUGAUCAACGCUAUUGUCGUUAAUGGUCCCGUUGUAGUUUCGAUCUACAAACUUUGGCUUUUUCGAGCGAAGAGAGAAGUUAUGGUGGAUUUUUUAUGUGCGAUGGCUAGAGAUUGGGCGGAACAAAGAACGAACGAAGAAAUGGAAGCGAUGAUGCGAAGGGCUAAAUGGACCAGGCUGAUAUCAGCUAUGUCCAUCCUGAUAUCGAGCACCAUGUGUUUAACAUUUACGGUGGUUGGGCCGUGCAGGAAUGAUCGAAGAUUCCUUCAACUUCAUGCUCUUGGUUCAAGUGGUGAAUUGCAGUAUUUUAUUCUGCUUUCAAGGCUACGUUAUUAUCACGAGUACUUCUUUGAGCUAUGCCGCUUACGAAUCGCAGUGGUAUCUUUUGAAACCUAACGAAGCUCGAUCACUGAUGAUGUUAACGUACCGAGCUCGAAUCCCUCUUGAAAUAACUGCAGGAAAAUUCGUCGGAUUUUCACUCGAACUUUUCACCACUAUCAUGAAAACCUCGAUGGGCUACUUGUCAGUUCUACUGGCUGUGGAAAAGUCUUGAAAUCAUGGAUUAUUUUUGGGACACGAAUAGUGGAAACAUUUAGCUUAGAAGCGUACCUAGAAAUCACUUUCACGUA
Molecule: RNA transcript, 891 nt
Organism: Venturia canescens
Lineage: Eukaryota; Metazoa; Arthropoda; Insecta; Hymenoptera; Ichneumonidae
Gene name: odorant receptor 13a-like
Exons: 6
Source: RefSeq, a predicted model, not a curated record